ACAAACCUGGAGAAUAAAGCGGGUAGACUUAGAGGAAAGUUAGGGGAAAAGCGGCGAUGAUGGUGGGGGUAAAAAGGUGGAAAAAAACUAGGGAGAUGAUUCGUAUAUGAAGCGUGUUUCGAAUGAUAAGGCCCUCAUCACCCGCCCCUACACGCUCGUUAGUAAUGCCUGUAGUGAAGCGUGGUGCAUGCAAUGGCCAAACCUAUGUAGCGCCUGGCUUCGCCUAAGUACAUGGCUUGGUCUGAAAAGUAAAAAGUAGCGCGCAGGGGAAUGAGGUAAAGAGAAAAAAAAGUGGAUAGAGACUAAGCUAGGAGGGGGAAGUGUGUAGUGGACAAAAUGGUGCAUGUGGUGGUCCUGGCUAGUGGCUGUAUGUGGUGGACUAAAUGAUAAAUAAGUGUGGAAACUUAUGCAUGUAGCGGGAAGGGGAGAGAAUACGGGUGUCUUGAUGUGGUAGCUAGUAUGUAGGAUGUGUGGGAAGGAGGGUGUACAUACCCGAGAUGUGUAUUCGCGGAGCUUAGAUUGCCUGUCUUGUAGGUAUUCCGUAUGUAGCGAAGUGAGGGAUUAUGAGGGGAUUGCGCUCGUGGUUAUACGAGUAUUAGAUGAAAGUAGAUAUCGCUGUUUCCGGUUCCGGUUAUUGUACAUCCGGGUAUUUAUUAAAUUGGUUGCGGUUUGGUUUACAAAAUUGGCAAAAUAUGGCGGAUGAAUACAACGAAUGGCUAUAUUAUUGUACGGGAAUAUUUUGGAAGUGUUCUGUGCUAGAUAGGAUGACGGGGUGGCAUACGCUGAGAGGAUAGAGUGUUGGUGAGGAGCCAGGCUGACAUCCAGCUUGUGCACAAUAAUUUGGGAGAUGAAAAGCAGUACAACUCUGAAGAAAGCCUCACUUCCAAACACAACACAUCCGUGAGAAAGUUUCUAGAGGAUGAGGUCAAUAGCCAGGAAAAGGGUUAUCAGAGGAAAUCUGUCAAGCGUGCUGCAGCACACUAUUAUGAAACAAAACGGCGCCUUUACCUAGCAUCGCUGCCAGCAAAUGCCGACAAAGCUGCAAAAGAUCAGCAGAGCAACAAACUAAGAUCAAGGAGACAAAGGUUGUAUAAAGGGAGAGUUGAAGUUGCAGUUUGAGCGGAGAGGAAUGCAAUGGAGCAGCUUUCUCAAGAGUACAUGAGUGACGAGGAGGAUGGCACAGGUCAGCUGCGGGGAAACUAAGUGGUCAAAAGACCGAGGUGGAGGUCGCCUUUGGCAAACAAGCUAAUGGCAAGACUCCAGAGAAAGUUAGAUGCCGCCAACUUGGACUCUGGACGCGCCAAAAAGCAGAGGAUUGAAGGAAGGGAGCCAUUGCAUAGAGGGGCCCCAAAGACAAGGGUGGAGUGGGCUCUGCAACAACAAAGGGAGGAGGAGGAGGAAGACGAGGACAGUGAGGGCGAGUCGAUCACCCCGCCCACGAAGGAGAGAAGGGUACACCGCCCUAUUGACAGCAGCGACGAAGAAAACUUUUAAUUUGAAAUUUGUAACUUUUUUAGAAAUUAUAUUCAACGUCUAGGUCGGUCCAAAAAUUGGGAGGUUUUCGAUAACCUCUGCAACAAAGUGCGAUAGUCAAUGUGUUGUAGUCAAGCCAGCAGCCAAAAUAACAAAAACAUUAGAGUGGUUUUCAUAAACCAGUAAAAUAAUCUUUAGCUUAUUUAGCACUAGUACACUUUAUUCCCUUUUGUGUUUUUUUUUCUUAAAUAUUGCACGGGUUUUUAUAAACAAAUAUAAUAAAAAAAGUUAUGGUUGACUAGAGGAUAGUACCUGUUUUCCAAGGUGGAAUUACUGAAGUAUGGAAAUUAUAUUUGAUAUAUAAUAUUUCACACUUGUAAAUAGACAAUGAGUUUAACCGCAGAUUUUCCUGUUAAUAAGUAUUUAUUUGUAAAUAGGUAUUUAUUGUGAAUAAGAUUUUUUUUUAAACCUUGGUUGUAUGGAUUGUAACUUUUAUGUUUAACUUUUUUAGUAUUAUUAAAUAUUAAAUGACAA
Molecule: long non-coding RNA, 2007 nt
Organism: Nematostella vectensis (starlet sea anemone)
Lineage: Eukaryota; Metazoa; Cnidaria; Anthozoa; Actiniaria; Edwardsiidae
Exons: 5
Source: RefSeq, a predicted model, not a curated record